Molecule: ribosomal RNA, 429 nt
Filed under: uncultured bacterium
Lineage: Bacteria
Description: bacterial SSU rRNA
Rfam family: Bacterial small subunit ribosomal RNA
Source: RNAcentral
UGGGGAAUUGUUCGCAAUGGGCGCAAGCCUGACGACGCAACGCCGCGUGGAGGAUGACGGUCUUCGGAUUGUAAACUCCUGUUGCCCGGGACGAAUGGCCCUGACCUAACACGUCAGGGGCCGGACGGUACCGGGUGAGGAAGCCCCGGCUAACUCUGUGCCAGCAGCCGCGGUAAUACAGAGGGGGCAAGCGUUGUUCGGAAUUACUGGGCGUAAAGGGCGCGUAGGCGGCCGGCUAAGUCGAACGUGAAAUCCCCGGGCUCAACCCGGGAACUGCGUCCGAGACUGGUCGGCUUGAAUCCGGGAGAGGGAUGCGGAAUUCCAGGUGUAGCGGUGAAAUGCGUAGAUAUCUGGAGGAACACCGGUGGCGAAGGCGGCAUCCUGGACCGGCAUUGACGCUGAGGCGCGAAAGCCAGGGGAGCAAACGGG